GGCUAAUCCUGGUCGGACAUCAGGAGGUUAGUGCAAUGGCAUAAGCCAGCUUGACUGCGAGCGUGACGGCGCGAGCAGGUGCGAAAGCAGGUCAUAGUGAUCCGGUGGUUCUGAAUGGAAGGGCCAUCGCUCAACGGAUAAAAGGUACUCCGGGGAUAACAGGCUGAUACCGCCCAAGAGUUCAUAUCGACGGCGGUGUUUGGCACCUCGAUGUCGGCUCAUCACAUCCUGGGGCUGAAGUAGGUCCCAAGGGUAUGGCUGUUCGCCAUUUAAAGUGGUACGCGAGCUGGGUUUAGAACGUCGUGAGACAGUUCGGUCCCUAUCUGCCGUGGGCGCUGGAGAACUGAGGGGGGCUGCUCCUAGUACGAGAGGACCGGAGUGGACGCAUCACUGGUGUUCGGGUUGUCAUGCCAAUGGCACUGCCCGGUAGCUAAAUGCGGAAGAGAUAAGUGCUGAAAGCAUCUAAGCACGAAACUUGCCCCGAGAUGAGUUCUCCCUGACUCC
RNAcentral lists this ribosomal RNA (504 nucleotides) under Escherichia coli. RNAcentral's name for it is "partial 23S ribosomal RNA". It matches the Rfam family "Bacterial large subunit ribosomal RNA", at positions 2319 to 2822 of the family's 2925-position model. The record is from RNAcentral. Lineage: Bacteria; Pseudomonadati; Pseudomonadota; Gammaproteobacteria; Enterobacterales; Enterobacteriaceae.